This 1044-nucleotide ribosomal RNA is filed under the name uncultured bacterium. Its description in RNAcentral is "bacterial SSU rRNA". It matches the Rfam family "Bacterial small subunit ribosomal RNA", at positions 28 to 1118 of the family's 1533-position model. The record is from RNAcentral.
GAUGAACGCUGGCGGCGUGCUUAACACAUGCAAGUCGAACGAACCUUCGGGUUAGUGGCGGACGGGUGAGUAACGCGUGGGAAUCUGCCCUCAGGAGGGGGAUAACGGUUGGAAACGGCCGCUAAUACCCCAUAUGCCGAGAGGUGAAAUGAAUUUCGCCUGAGGAUGAGCCCGCGUCUGAUUAGCUAGUUGGUGAGGUAAGAGCUCACCAAGGCAUCGAUCAGUAGCUGGUCUGAGAGGAUGAUCAGCCACACUGGGACUGAGACACGGCCCAGACUCCUACGGGAGGCAGCAGUGGGGAAUUUUCCGCAAUGGGCGAAAGCCUGACGGAGCAACGCCGCGUGAGGGAUGAAGGCCUCUGGGCUGUAAACCUCUUUUAUCAAGGAAGAAGAUCUGACGGUACUUGAUGAAUAAGCCACGGCUAAUUCCGUGCCAGCAGCCGCGGUAAUACGGGAGUGGCAAGCGUUAUCCGGAAUUAUUGGGCGUAAAGCGUCCGCAGGCGGCCCAACAAGUCUGCUGUUAAAAAGUGGAGCUUAACUCCAUCAUGGCAGUGGAAACUGUUGGGCUCGAGUGUGGUAGGGGCAGAGGGAAUUCCCGGUGUAGCGGUGAAAUGCGUAGAUAUCGGGAAGAACACCAGUGGCGAAGGCGCUCUGCUGGGCCAUCACUGACGCUCAUGGACGAAAGCCAGGGGAGCGAAAGGGAUUAGAUACCCCUGUAGUCCUGGCCGUAAACGAUGAACACUAGGUGUCGGGGGAAUCGACCCCUCCGGUGUCGUAGCCAACGCGUUAAGUGUUCCGCCUGGGGAGUACGCACGCAAGUGUGAAACUCAAAGGAAUUGACGGGGGCCCGCACAAGCGGUGGAGUAUGUGGUUUAAUUCGAUGCAACGCGAAGAACCUUACCAGGGUUUGACAUCCUGCGAAUCUCUUGGAAACUUGAGAGUGCCUUCGGGAGCGCAGUGACAGGUGGUGCAUGGCUGUCGUCAGCUCGUGUCGUGAAAUGUUGGGUUAAGUCCCGCAACGAGCGCAACCCACGUCUUUAGUUGC